This 497-nucleotide ribosomal RNA is filed under the name uncultured bacterium. Its description in RNAcentral is "partial 16S ribosomal RNA". It matches the Rfam family "Bacterial small subunit ribosomal RNA", at positions 28 to 507 of the family's 1533-position model. The record is from RNAcentral.
GAUGAACGCUGGCGGCGUGCCUAAUACAUGCAAGUCGAGCGAACAGACGAGGAGCUUGCUCCUCUGACGUUAGCGGCGGACCCCCGAGUAACACGUGGAUAACCUACCUAUAAGACUGGGAUAACUUCGGGAAACCGGAGCUAAUACCGGAUAAUAUAUUGAACCGCAUGGUUCAAUAGUGAAAGACGGUUUUGCUGUCACUUAUAGAUGGAUCCGCGCCGCAUUAGCUAGUUGGUAAGGUAACGGCUUACCAAGGCGACGAUGCGUAGCCGACCUGAGAGGGUGAUCGGCCACACUGGAACUGAGACACGGUCCAGACUCCUACGGGAGGCAGCAGUAGGGAAUCUUCCGCAAUGGGCGAAAGCCUGACGGAGCAACGCCGCGUGAGUGAUGAAGGUCUUCGGAUCGUAAAACUCUGUUAUUAGGGAAGAACAAAUGUGUAAGUAACUAUGCACGUCUUGACGGUACCUAAUCAGAAAGCCACGGCUAACUACGUG